GAACAUAUGGUGUAAUUGGCUAACAUAUCGCCCUGUCAUGGCGAAGUUCGGGGUUCGAAUCCCCUAUGUUCC
RNAcentral lists this transfer RNA (72 nucleotides) under Caudoviricetes sp. RNAcentral describes it as "tRNA-Asp". It matches the Rfam family "tRNA". From Rfam's summary of the family: Transfer RNA (tRNA) molecules are approximately 80 nucleotides in length. Lineage: Duplodnaviria; Heunggongvirae; Uroviricota; Caudoviricetes. The record is from RNAcentral.